RNAcentral lists this long non-coding RNA (1616 nucleotides) under Schizosaccharomyces pombe (fission yeast). The record is from RNAcentral. Lineage: Eukaryota; Fungi; Ascomycota; Schizosaccharomycetes; Schizosaccharomycetales; Schizosaccharomycetaceae.
CCACAUGGUACAACAACACUUUGAACAAGGGCAAUAGCGGGAGGCAAUUUCAAACCUUUGUCAUCGCCGUGAACCAUAACAGCGACACCAAUGGUUCGAGUCGAAAGACCCCAAGAGUUUUGCCAAACAAAUAGCUUGGGACGUUCACCAGUUGGACCAAUUUCUGCGUUAGGAUCUUCAACUACGAUAUUGAACAUCUUUGAGAAGUUUUGGCCCAAGCAAUGACUAGUAGCUCCUUGAAUACCACGGCCAGUAGUAGGAAUAUAUCCUUCGACAGUCGUUGUAAACAUGCCACCAGCAAACUUCUCGUUUUCACUCUUGACACCUUUGAUAACAGGAACAGCUAAAAGAUCGGUAUAAAUACGGGCAUACAAAUCCAAAAUUUGAUGGACUUCUUCAGUUGCACCUUCCAAAGUCAUGUGAGCAGUAUGGCCCUCCUGCCAAAGAAACUCACGAGUUCUUAAGAAGGGUUGAGGGUUUUUAAAUUCCCAGCGGACAACAGAGUUCCACUGAUUAAGUUUGAGGGGAAGAUCGCGAUGACUGCGGAUCCAUUUAGCAUAGUAGGGAUACAUAACGGUUUCAGAGGUAGGACGAAUAGCAAUGGGCUCAUCUAACUCCGAAGUACCAGCACGAGUAACCCAUGCGACUUCGGGAGCGAAACCUUCAACGUGAUCUUUUUCUUUUUCUAAAACCUUGGAAGAUACGAAAAGAGGAAAGUAACCGUUACGGACACCAAGCUUCUUGAUUUCCUUGUCAAACCAUCCUUGGAUGGCUUCCCAGAUGCUAUAAGACCAUGGUUUUAAGAUAUAGCAACCAGAGAUAUCAUAGUACUCAAUCAUGUCACUUUUAGUAAGGACUUGUUGGUACCAAUUAGGAAAGUCAGCAUCCUUUCGGACAGUGAUACCAAUCAGAGCUGCAUUCUCGAUGGCAGCGUCAUUCUUUGAGGGCUCAGCUUUUUUCUUUUGAGCAGCAGGCUUUGAAGGAGCAGUAGCAGAACCUGGAGCGGAAAAGUCAACAAUGAUAGGGUUCACACCAACAGAUUUCAAGUAUGUUUGAACGGCAGCUGGAGAAACAAAUACUGUCUUUGCGCUACUAGAAGGAUGGAAAGCUAAUAAGCCAUUGUGUUGAAUAAGAGCGGCAUCCAAAACAACGUGGACUUUUGAAGCAUUCUCCUUGUUAACGGAAAAGAUACCAACAUCAGUUGGAGGAAUGCCAAAGACUUCCUCGACCAAAUCAGCGGCAGCCAUACGAGCUUCCUUUGAUCCGACAGCUUUUGCGGCUAUUCCAGAAGGGGUAGAAGUAGUUUCCAAAGCUGCCAAAAUGAUGGGCACUACAGUUUGAGAUUUUGCUGUCUUGGGCUUUAACACGAUGGUUUUUGUUAAAGCAUGAGAUGGAACAUCUUUGGUAGAUUGCAAGGCGCUAGCCCAAGUAGCCCCAUUGCUGACCUCUUGAUGUUCAACAAGCUUUAAAUCAUCAGUUAUAAGCUGCUCUAAACAUGAAACUAAGCUGUCAACAGACAUUUCUGUAACAAGGAAAAAGUUUUCGUUUUGCCUGAGUUUAUAGAGAUAGUCACAAAGUAGUGAUAAUGAGUAACUCCUGAAAACGUUUGGGCAGUU